This 830-nucleotide ribosomal RNA is filed under the name uncultured bacterium. RNAcentral's name for it is "bacterial SSU rRNA". It matches the Rfam family "Bacterial small subunit ribosomal RNA", at positions 28 to 872 of the family's 1533-position model. The record is from RNAcentral.
AAUCAACGCUGGCGGCGUGCCUCAGACAUGCAAGUCGAACGAUUAAGACUUCCUUCGGGAAGUGCAUAAAGUGGCGCACGGGUGAGUAACACGUAAGUAAUCUACCUUCGAGUGGGGAAUAACGUUCGGAAACGGACGCUAAUACCGCAUAAUGCAGCGGCAUCGCAAGAUGACAGUUGUUAAAGAUUUAUCGCUUGAAGAGGAGCUUGCGGCAGAUUAGCUAGUUGGUAAGGUAACGGCUUACCAAGGCGACGAUCUGUAUCCGGUCUAAGAGGACGGUCGGACACACUGACACUGAAUAACGGGUCAGACUCCUACGGGAGGCAGCAGUCGGGAAUUUUGGGCAAUGGGCGAAAGCCUGACCCAGCAACGCCGCGUGAAGGAUGAAGUAUUUCGGUAUGUAAACUUCGUAAGAAUAGGAAGAAUAAAUGACGGUACUAUUUGUAAGGUCCGGCUAACUACGUGCCAGCAGCCGCGGUAAUACGUAGGGACCAAGCGUUGUUCGGAUUUACUGGGCGUAAAGGGCGCGUAGGCGGCAAUUCAAGUCAGCUGUGAAGUCUCCGGGCUUAACUCGGAACGGUCAGCUGAUACUGCUUUGCUAGAGUACAGAAGGGGCAAUCGGAAUUCUUGGUGUAGCGGUGAAAUGCGUAGAUAUCAAGAGGAACACCUGAGGUGAAGACGGGUUGCUGGGCUGAUACUGACGCUGAGGCGCGAAAGCUAGGGUAGCAAACGGGAUUAGAUACCCCGGUAGUCCUAGCCCUAAACGAUGAAUACUUGGUGUCUGGAGUUUUUAUCCUCCGGGUGCCGUCGCUAACGUUUUAAGUAUCCGC